UGCAAGCUGAGCCUCUAAUGAGCCAUAAUGACUCGUUAUUGUGUGGAUACAUUAACUUCUGCAUAAGCUUUAUAAUGCAAAACAGCACACUGGGCAUGUUGUGUGCCCACUGAACAGGACUCCUGAGGGCAUGAGUGACACUCUUUUUGUGGGAGGAGAAGUGACUGAUGUCUGGGGCUACUCCAUCUCAAGAAAAUACUGGAGACGUUCACUGGAUCUCAGAGGAAAAUAGAGAUUGGAGAAGUAACUGCUGCAAUGUUAUAAUGAUUUGUCUAAUUGCUUGAAAGAAAGACAGUACUUAGCACUAAAUCUGCGGGUGGAGGUGAGCUAAAAGAAAAAUGUCUACUGUGCUUUUCGGACAAUAGAAGUGACAUGACCCUCAGUAAGAAAGGAUGCCUGUGUUCUUGAUUCAGAAAUUGCCGCCUGUGCUUCCAAAGUCCACUUCCUUACAGAAAGGGGGUGAUAACAGCAAGGCUUCUUCCCUCUGGAAACAUAUACAACUUUGCUGAAUUAAUAAAAACAUGGAGGAGGAGAACCAGCAGCAGAUGCAGAUUAUUUACCUGAAAGAAAAGCCAUCCUGAAGAGCCUUUUGUUCUGCAUGCACUCAAUACAGAGCAAUAUGAUUCUUCCGUUGUGGUGAAGAAGUCUGCACCAUUAGAUGGGAGGCUGAUGCAGUGACAGCACUCAUGGGGUCUUCCCUGUGUGUGUGGAGGAGAACCCUGGAACUGCCAACCUCUCAUUUAAGAUGUAUGAUGACCUCAGAAGGCAGGACUACAGCAACAUUCAGAGAAGCUGCAGCUCACUCUUCGCCUGUUAAUAAGCUGUUUUCCUCUGGCUUCUGCAUAUUGCUAAUUCAAUUUAGAAAGGGAAUAGCCUCCAGACACCUCUAAGAACAACCAGAGAUUCCCCCUGAACAAUUAAAGAAGUCAGAAUCAUGCUACAUCCAGAUACUGCUCGCAACUAUUUGGGGUCCUUCUGGCAGAAAAACAGGAGGGAGAAAAUACAACUUACAAGUUUUUUCAGUCUGACCUCAGUAAUGUAAAAAACUGGCAUUGUGGCUGGCAAAGGUUCAGAUAAAACUUUUUGGAUAUGCUAUAAAGUGAGUUACUGUAAUCACCUGGGUCCAUUCUGCAUUAGUUGCUGUUGACCAGACAUGAACUGUAGAUGUACCUUACAGGCCAUUGUUUGCAUGUCCUCUGUUAUGGGCUAUUAACCAUCAUGGGUUAUUAGCUAGUAAUUCUCUACAUGCAGAUGAAUAUUUAUAGUAGUUCUCGGUAGAAAUAUAUUUUAAAAGGAGUGCAGGGUUGCCUUUAUACAGGAUAUAAACAAAACAGUCUUUUGAGAUUUGAAAGACUAUUUCGUUCUGUUUAAAAAGCAAAACACAAAAAAAAAGAGAAAAAUUCUGUCCCUCGCUUGCUGCAUCUACAAAGCAGAGUAUGCUAGCAAACUGCAGCGAAGCUGUGAGUUGCAAACACAGCUGUUCAAGGAAGACUUAGUAGCCUGAGGGGAAAGAUGGCAGAAUUACUGAAGUGCCUUCACAGGGUAAAUUACAUUACAUUUAAUUUCAAGUAUUUCCAGUUAUUGAACAAAAGAAGAAAAAUGUGGCCUGUCCUGGGCUUCCAGAGUUAGUUGCAUGUGCACCUAUAAACAUAGAUGUCUGUCUGUGGAUUAUUUGUAGCCUGGGAGACAUGCCCUGGUGUGCUGGAGCUGAAUCUGCUCCCAUUUCCCACUGUGUCCCUCUGUGCCCAGGUGCUCAGAGGGAACAUGGUGCUCUGUCUACUGUGAAUUCCUGUGCCCAUUCAUGUAGCACUAAUCUUGCUGCUUAGAUAAUCCCAGACGCUACCCCAGCAAGGACAGACAGAUUAGAUGUAAUUACUGCUGUCAAAUCAAAUUAUGACUUAUUUAUUAAAUGUAAGAUUUCUUCAAGGCUAGUGGUGCUAAGCAUGUUAUGUAUGUUCUUAGAAAGGUCCCUAAUAAGGAAGCGCUAAGCCUGUGUGAAAAAACGAUGGGAAGAUGCAAAUAGAAACUGUACAGAAAAAAUAAUUUACAUCAAUGCUUUCACGAUAAAUGUGCAAAUUACAAAUGAACUGGGUUUUCCUGCAUUGUACCCAGACAUCCAUCUAAGACAGGACCUUCAAAAUAGCAUCAUUUUUUCCAAAAUGUUUGCUCGUCAGUCAGUCAGUCUGGCCACCAGCUGGAUAAAGAUAAGCCAAUUAAACACUCUUUGGAUCAUGCCUGGUAUACAAAAAUAGCCAUACCUCACUAGUCAGGUCAAAAGUACUUCUGGUCCACUUCCCUGUCUCUGGCAAUAGCCAGGAGCAUGUGCCUAGGGAAGGGGUACCCCUCAGUCACCCUCUCUGCUUCCAGCAGCCCGUCGCCACUCAAUCAAAUAACAAGUUCAAUACACAGGUUUAACGGGCUUUUCCUCCAUGAAAUUGUCUAAUUGCUUUUUGAACUCUUAUUUACUUUUAAGCUCCAUACCAUUACCUUGUGGUAAUCAGUUCCACAGCAUAAUUACAUAAACGUUCUUUUUUCUUUUUAAAAAAGAAAUCUGAGUGAUCCUUUCUCAAAUUAUUUUGCAGGACUAUUUCAAAGAAUUUCCAAAAGGCUGUUUUGAGGUCAAAGGAAAAUAAGACUUUUUGGUUCAGUGACCUGUGAUUUUUAUGGCCACUGUUAAGAUCAUUGCCUGUCACCGUAGCAAAGGGAUCAGAUAAAAAUUUUAAAUGGCACUGUCUUCCUUUGUCCUUAAAGUCCAAGCAUCUUAUUCCUGUUGAUUGCAGAAACUGACGGUGCUAAUAUAAAACACUGAGAGAGGCUUAGUGAAAAUUUUGCUAUGGGGAAAAAGCUGGGGUCAGAGUUUAGUCCCUUGAAGCUUCUCCAUAAAAUAGCUGUCGAUUUCUCUGUCCUGAUAUCGUUGUCCUCAUUGUCUGUGAUUUUUAUGUCUCAAAUGCUUCAUUACAUUUUUCCCCAAUAUUUCAUAGCACCACACAUAGAAAACUUGAAAUUUCCUAGAUUCAGUUUAUCAGAGCCUUUAUUUUAUAACCCGUGUUAGUAGCCUUGAGUCACUUCCAUUAGAUAGGAAGGUCUAAGUGCAGGUGCCAUCUGGUACGGUGCUGAGAGGCUCCAGGUGACCUGGCUUUUUUCCCCAGUCAUGUUCAGAGGAAACUAAGCACGUGGUAUAUAUUUGAUACAGGUACUACUCAGGCAUUAGGUUUCUGUGUACUACUGUUGAUGCUGGAUUUAAGUCUUUGGAAUUAAAUUCAGCUGCUUCUUUCCAGGCCUCACAUUUCUUUUAUGGCAGAAUUUUUUUUUUUUCAUCCUUUCUUGAAGUGUCUUACAUUGUCAAAGUCCUGUUGGUGUCUCUGCUAUGUGUUUCUUUUCCUCUUCUAGCUGCUUUCCCUGCCCUUUAUAUUACAUUGUGUGCAGACAUACAAUGCCAGUUCUUCACUGCUUCUGCAUUCUCCCUCAUUCUGCCUCCGGACUUCGCUUGUAGGGUCAUGUGAAGAAAUAUAAUCCCCGACUAACCUGGAUGUGCAAAAUUGUGCUUUAAGUAGAGAAGUAUCUUUUCGUCAGAGUGAAAGCAAGGAUAGUAUUAAGGAAUGGGGCCUACAAGAACUCCUUUAAAAGCAAUCUCUUCUCCUACUUGUACUUAACUCCACCUUCCAUGUUUCCAUUUUAUUCUGGGCUAUUGCACUGAUGCUUCAAGUCUUCGGGGUGUUCUCUCAAUUCUUUUUUUAAUUAUGACCUUUGCUGAUAAACGUUGUGUUUGUUCAUAUGCUUAUUUUGUCAAAUGCUGCAGUGUAAAAAUUUAAGUUUUUUUCAAAUUCCUCAAAUACUUGAUUUAGAACAGCUUGAUGAUUAUCUUGAAAGGUUACUUAAAUGAAAUGCGGAUUUCCCUGGCAUUUUAACUUUGUCUUCUUUAAGGACAAUCACAACAGAGUUAUAUUCUUCCAUGCCAUAUGAAAGAAAUAUGUGUGUUUUCAAGGACGGAGAUGGCUCAGUCUUUGAUGCUCACGUUUAUGCUGUCACAUUUUUUCAG
This is a long non-coding RNA of Grus americana (Whooping crane), 4039 nucleotides long. RefSeq lists it as uncharacterized. NCBI's taxonomy places the organism in Eukaryota, Metazoa, Chordata, Aves, Gruiformes, Gruidae. The transcript has 11 exons. The record is from RefSeq and is a predicted model, not a curated record.